RNAcentral lists this long non-coding RNA (258 nucleotides) under Physcomitrium patens. RNAcentral describes it as "long non-coding RNA (PPAT_LNC007990)". Lineage: Eukaryota; Viridiplantae; Streptophyta; Bryopsida; Funariales; Funariaceae. The record is from RNAcentral.
AGAAUCUUUUACAAAUUUCUAAAACCUUCUAAAUACUUGUAGAAUCCUUCAAAUCUUUUAGAAAGUUCCAUAGGCUUUGAAAAGCCUCAUUAGACUUCUAGAAGCUUCUUUAGACUUCUAAAAACUUUCAUAGAAAGUUGUCACGGACACAAAAUACAGACUUGAAAUCUAACAAGAAGUUCAAGAAGAAGUGGCAGAACUAGAUUAAACAGAUGAGUACAAGAACAACACCAGAAAGGUGAGCUAGAACUCCAAGAG